Molecule: long non-coding RNA, 972 nt
Organism: Ostrinia nubilalis (European corn borer)
Lineage: Eukaryota; Metazoa; Arthropoda; Insecta; Lepidoptera; Crambidae
Exons: 7
Source: RefSeq, a predicted model, not a curated record
AGACAUUUCGCGCUCAUUCACUUCCGCCUCCCUCUCGGUCGCAACUGUUUUGCAUCUUGUUUCAUCGCGUUUCACGAUGCCCCGCUUCAACUACGAUUCCACCACGGCCGUCUGCAUCGCCACGGAAUAGGAGCUUUCUCGGUCAACCAAAUUGAAGAAGAGAUGUUAUGAUAUCGCUGAAGGGCGAACUGAAGGAUAGACGUGGACGACUGUUGGGGGGACACGCCAGCCUGUGGGCUGAUGUUGCUGAUGCUGUGGGAAACACCGGCGGACGUCUUGGGGAAGGUAACGACAUCGAAGCGAAGAGUGUGGAGUUCGACAGCCGCAUGGCUGCGGGCGUGAAGUUGAGGGGGAAGAGACCGGAGAGAAGAUGCAGGGGUGACGAAUCAAGAUGACAAACGAUUUAUUAGUAAUAUCACUGUUUAUAUCUUAUCUGGAUAAGAUACUCAAUUAGACAUCAAGAUGACUGUCACUCGUACACUCAAAAGAUACUAAGAGUAUAGAAGCCAAAAGAGAAACUUGAGUGAUGCAAAAGUUAAAAUUGCUACGAUGGUGCUCACCACAUCUACUCGCAAGUCAAGUUCCUCAAGAUGAAGCAUUAAUAACGCAGCCCUGACAAAAUAAUGCAAAUUUGAAGAAUUCAUAAACAUAAAAAGAACUAACUACUAAUUAAGGUAUAGACUAGAAGAAAUAAUAAAAAUUAAAAUGUAAUAUAAUACUUAGCUACCUACGUUUCGCUACUUCAUAUUGAACUGAACCGGAGCCUGACAAUGCACCACACGACCUUUUUCUGAUUAUGUAAAACGCCAUGAAUAGAAUAGAAUUGAUCACAUCUCACAAGGAAGGAGGAGUGAUAUGGCGAUAACAUAUUUUCUUGGCGAAGAAGAAAUUACUGUCUCAAUGCGUAAAAUAUUACUCUACGAAGCAAGAAGGCUAAGAAUGAAGAAAGAAAAAAAGGCAAAACAUAAACGC